CGCUGCCAGAUAUAAGAGUCCUGACGGAUCCGAAUAUUGCAUCAGCGUUCGUACAAAAACAAGAUAUGUUCUAUAUAAUGAAUUGGAUCAAAAUCCACCGGGUUUGUUCUUGUCCAGGGCCGCACGCCGCUUUCAGAGGCUCGAUUCUGGGGCCUGCCAAGUGGAAAUAGCAGCAAAAUCUAUCUCAGCCCAUCCUAUCUGUCUGCAUCACUUAUCUGCACGGAAAACCCAAACGCUUUUUGCUCUCGGUUUGCUCAGUCUCCGCUUGAAUAAUCGCCCACCUGACAAUGGAAUUUACACUGCGUGCCCCACAGCAGAUUUAGGAAUGACCCUCUGCUUCCCGCGAACCCCAUUUAGGCUUGACUGACAUCCUCCACAAACUCUCUUUCCUGUGCAAAAUCAAAAGAGCCAAAAGUGAUGAUUCACUAUCAAUCGGCUCUCUCGGGACAGUGAUUUACAAACUCGACCGCUCACCUCCCACACUCAUCCGGGCUUAUCCGUGGCUGCAGGAUCUCCUCAUACGAGCCAGGAUAUGGUCUGCAUGUUUUGAGAGCCUCCACGGAUACUUUUUUGCGGACAAAACAACAAGCAGAAUCCAAAUUGUAAAAAUUCGGUCUAGGCUUAUCCUUUCACUUUUACUGUUUUAAUCGUUCAGUGGUAGAUCAGUGCCUUUAGGACAGUAACCUGCAGUUAAUAUAAUGUGUUUACAUAUCUCAAUAUCUAUAUAAUACUUUUUUUUGUCAAAUAUGAUCAUGAUAUGAAAUGCUAGAGAACACAAAAUCGGCCUAUAGUGUGUUAUUUAUCUUUUUUUUUAAUAUAACUUUAGUAUUUUGCAAUUUUAUAUAUUGCAUAUUUGUAUAAAAUGUUGUCA
Molecule: non-coding RNA, 871 nt
Organism: Pimephales promelas (fathead minnow)
Lineage: Eukaryota; Metazoa; Chordata; Actinopteri; Cypriniformes; Leuciscidae
Source: RefSeq, a predicted model, not a curated record